RNAcentral lists this ribosomal RNA (543 nucleotides) under uncultured bacterium. RNAcentral describes it as "partial 16S ribosomal RNA". It matches the Rfam family "Bacterial small subunit ribosomal RNA", at positions 355 to 914 of the family's 1533-position model. The record is from RNAcentral.
UGGGGAAUAUUGCACAAUGGGCGAAAGCCUGAUGCAGCAACGCCGCGCGAGUGAUGAAGGCCUUCGGGUUGUAAAGCUCUGUCUUUUGGGACGAUAAUGACGGUACCAAAGGAGGAAGCCACGGCUAACUACGUGCCAGCAGCUGCGGUAAUACGUAGGUGGCAAGCGUUGUCCGGAUUUACUGGGCGUAAAGGAUGCGUAGGCGGAUUUUUAAGUGAGAUGUGAAAACCCUAAGCUUAACUUGGGGACUGCAUUUCAUACUGGAAAUCUAGAGUGCGGGAGAGGAGAAUGGAAUUCCUAGUGUAGCGGUGAAAUGCGUAGAGAUUAGGAAGAACACCAGUGGCGAAGGCGAUUCUCUGGACCGUAACUGACGCUGAGGCAUGAAAGCGUGGGUAGCAAACAGGAUUAGAUACCCUGGUAGUCCACGCCGUAAACGAUGAGUACUAGGUGUAGGAGGUAUCGACCCCUUCUGUGCCGCAGUUAACACAAUAAGUACUCCGCCUGGGAAGUACGAUCGCAAGAUUAAAACUCAAAGGAAUUGAC